AGACCCGAAACCCGGUGAUCUAGCCAUGGGCAGGUUGAAGGUUGGGUAACACUAACUGGAGGACCGAACCGACUAAUGUUGAAAAAUUAGCGGAUGACCUGUGGCUGGGGGUGAAAGGCCAAUCAAACCGGGAGAUAGCUGGUUCUCCCCGAAAGCUAUUUAGGUAGCGCCUCGUGAACUCAUCUCCGGGGGUAGAGCACUGUUUCGGCUAGGGGGCCAUCCCGGCUUACCAACCCGAUGCAAACUGCGAAUACCGGAGAAUGUUAUCACGGGAGACACACGGCGGGUGCUAACGUCCGUCGUGAAGAGGGAAACAACCCAGACCGCCAGCUAAGGUCCCAAAGUCAUGGUUAAGUGGGAAACGAUGUGGGAAGGCCCAGACAGCCAGGAUGUUGGCUUAGAAGCAGCCAUCAUUUAAAGAAAGCGUAAUAGCUCACUGGUCGAGUCGGCCUGCGCGGAAGAUGUAACGGGGCUAAACCAUGCACCGAAGCUGCGGCAGCGACACUUUAGUGUUGUUGGGUAGGGGAGCGUUCUGUAAGCCGUUGAAGGUGUGUCGUGAGGCAUGCUGGAGGUAUCAGAAGUGCGAAUGCUGACAUAAGUAACGAUAAAGCGGGUGAAAAGCCCGCUCGCCGGAAGACCAAGGGUUCCUGUCCAACGUUAAUCGGGGCAGGGUGAGUCGACCCCUAAGGCGAGGCCGAAAGGCGUAGUCGAUGGGAAACGGGUUAAUAUUCCCGUACUUGGUGUUACUGCGAAGGGGGGACGGAGAAGGCUAUGUUGGCCGGGCGACGGUAGUCCCGGUUUAAGCGUGUAGGCUGGUUUUCCAGGCAAAUCCGGAAAAUCAAGGCUGAGGCGUGAUGACGAGGCACCACGGUGCUGAAGCAACAAAUGCCCUGCUUCCAGGAAAAGCCUCUAAGCAUCAGGUAACAUCAAAUCGUACCCCAAACCGACACAGGUGGUCAGGUAGAGAAUACCAAGGCGCUUGAGAGAACUCGGGUGAAGGAACUAGGCAAAAUGGUGCCGUAACUUCGGGAGAAGGCACGCUGACACGUAGGUGAAGUGAUUUACUCACGGAGCUGAAGUCAGUCGAAGAUACCAGCUGGCUGCAACUGUUUAUUAAAAACACAGCACUGUGCAAACACGAAAGUGGACGUAUACGGUGUGACGCCUGCCCGGUGCCGGAAGGUUAAUUGAUGGGGUCAGCGCAAGCGAAGCUCCUGAUCGAAGCCCCGGUAAACGGCGGCCGUAACUAUAACGGUCCUAAGGUAGCGAAAUUCCUUGUCGGGUAAGUUCCGACCUGCACGAAUGGCGUAAUGAUGGCCAGGCUGUCUCCACCCGAGACUCAGUGAAAUUGAACUCGCUGUGAAGAUGCAGUGUACCCGCGGCAAGACGGAAAGACCCCGUGAACCUUUACUAUAGCUUGACACUGAACAUUGAGCCUUGAUGUGUAGGAUAGGUGGGAGGCUUUGAAGCGUGGACGCCAGUCUGCGUGGAGCCGACCUUGAAAUACCACCCUUUAAUGUUUGAUGUUCUAACGUGGACCCGUAAUCCGGGUUGCGGACAGUGUCUGGUGGGUAGUUUGACUGGGGCGGUCUCCUCCUAAAGAGUAACGGAGGAGCACGAAGGUUGGCUAAUCCUGGUCGGACAUCAGGAGGUUAGUGCAAUGGCAUAAGCCAGCUUGACUGCGAGCGUGACGGCGCGAGCAGGUGCGAAAGCAGGUCAUAGUGAUCCGGUGGUUCUGAAUGGAAGGGCCAUCGCUCAACGGAUAAAAGGUACUCCGGGGAUAACAGGCUGAUACCGCCCAAGAGUUCAUAUCGACGGCGGUGUUUGGCACCUCGAUGUCGGCUCAUCACAUCCUGGGGCUGAAGUAGGUCCCAAGGGUAUGGCUGUUCGCCAUUUAAAGUGGUACGCGAGCUGGGUUUAGAACGUCGUGAGACAGUUCGGUCCCUAUCUGCCGUGGGCGCUGGAAGAUUGAGGGGGGCUGCUCCUAGUACGAGAGGACCGGAGUGGACGCAUCACUGGUGUUCGGGUUGUCAUGCCAAUGGCACUGCCCGGUAGCUAAAUGCGGAAAAGAUAAGUGCUGAAAGCAUCUAAGCACGAAACUUGCCCCGAGAUGAGUCUUCCCUGAGACUUUGAGUCUCCUGAAGGAACGUUAAAGACGAUGACGUUGAUAGGCCGGGUGUGUAAGCGCAGCGAUGCGUUGAGCUAACCGGUACUAAUGAACCGUGAGGCUUAACCUUACAACGCCGAAG
This 2249-nucleotide ribosomal RNA is filed under the name Salmonella enterica. RNAcentral describes it as "partial 23S ribosomal RNA". It matches the Rfam family "Bacterial large subunit ribosomal RNA", at positions 711 to 2925 of the family's 2925-position model. The record is from RNAcentral. RNAcentral also lists the same sequence under 2 other names. Lineage: Bacteria; Pseudomonadati; Pseudomonadota; Gammaproteobacteria; Enterobacterales; Enterobacteriaceae.